GGAAUUCGCCCUUAGAGUUUGAUCCUGGCUCAGGAUGAACGCUGGCGGCGUGCUUAACACAUGCAAGUCGAACGGGGGUUACUUCGUGGCGAUCUUCGGAUCAAAGCGAUAUAACUCGAGUGGCGGACGGGUGAGUAACACGUGAGUAACCUGCCUUUUGCUGGGGAAUAACUGUGGGAAACCAUGGCUAAUACCGCAUGUUGUGCAUGACAGGCAUCUGUUAUGUAUGAAAGGAGAAAUCCGGCAGAAGAUGGGCUCGCGUCCGAUUAGGUAGUUGGUGGGGUAACGGCCUACCAAGCCCGCGAUCGGUAGCCGGACUGAGAGGUCGAACGGCCACAUUGGGACUGAGACACGGCCCAGACUCCUGCGGGAGGCAGCAGUGGGGAAUAUUGGGCAAUGGGCGAAAGCCUGACCCAGCGACGCCGCGUGAAGGACGAAGGCCUUCGGGUUGUAAACUUCUUUGGGGAGGGACGAAAAUGACGGUACCUCCAGAACAAGCCACGGCUAACUACGUGCCAGCAGCCGCGGUAAUACGUAGGUGGCAAGCGUUAUCCGGAUUUACUGGGUGUAAAGGGCGCGCAGGCGGCCCCAAAAGUCAGAUGUGAAAGAUCAAGGCUUAACUUUGACAUGUCAUCUGAAACUUUGGGACUUGAGUAUCAGAGGGGAAAGCGGAAUUCCUGGUGGAGCGGUAAAAUGCGCAGAGAUCAGGAGGAACACCGGUGGCGAAGGCGGCUUUCUGGCUGACAACUGACGCUGAGGCGCGAAAGCGUGGGGAGCAAACAGGAUUAGAUACCCUGGUAGUCCACGCCGUAAACGA
This 817-nucleotide ribosomal RNA is filed under the name uncultured bacterium. RNAcentral describes it as "bacterial SSU rRNA". It matches the Rfam family "Bacterial small subunit ribosomal RNA", at positions 1 to 809 of the family's 1533-position model. The record is from RNAcentral.